GAGAAGAUGGAUUCAUUUCAGGAGCAGCUCAUCUACUAACAAGGUAUCUGAUAGAACAUGGAAGAAGCAAUUUAUUACACUAAAUAGCCUGAGAUGUAAGAUCCAUUCACAGCAAAAACCAUGCCUGUCUUUUCACUGAUACUGGAACGGGAGCCUCCAAGUUAACAAAAACAUUCUGCACAUAGAAGGAGCAUGGGGAAAUGAAAAGAAGACAAGUGUGGCUGAAAGACAGGCUGUAAGGAAGAGUAAGAUGGAAACUUUGGCAGAGUGGAGCCUGAACUAUACCUGUCUCAUAUGCACUAACAUUCUUGAGGAGUUCCAGCCAGGAGACAUCAGGAGAUAUUAAUGGAGAACGGGAAAUAUUGAUGGACACUGGCAGUCAAGCAGCCACCAGCCAGCAGCAAAGAAGCCCAGCCAGGAAGGAAGGGUCUUAACUUAGAGCCAGAAUAUUCCACAGAAGAACUUCGAAGGAUUCAUAAUGAGUUUGUCUUCUGUACAGUAGUUGAUUCUGGGAGUGAAGCAAUGUCGCCACCUACUGCACAGAACACGAUAAUGAUGAUGACAAAGUAGACAAUUCUCCAAUUUUAAAUAACUAAGUAAAAAUUAGGCUAAUACAUCCAUAUACAUUACACAACUCUUGAAUUUUAUCACCAGUAAUAAAAGUUACUUAAU
Molecule: long non-coding RNA, 672 nt
Organism: Heterocephalus glaber (naked mole-rat)
Lineage: Eukaryota; Metazoa; Chordata; Mammalia; Rodentia; Bathyergidae
Source: Ensembl